This 497-nucleotide ribosomal RNA is filed under the name uncultured bacterium. RNAcentral's name for it is "partial 16S ribosomal RNA". It matches the Rfam family "Bacterial small subunit ribosomal RNA", at positions 28 to 507 of the family's 1533-position model. The record is from RNAcentral.
GAUGAACGCUGGCGGCGUGCCUAAUACAUGCAAGUCGAGCGAACGGACGAGAAGCUUGCUUCUCUGAUGUUAGCGGCGGACGGGUGAGUAACACGUGGAUAACCUACCUAUAAGACUGGGAUAACUUCGGGAAACCGGAGCUAAUACCGGAUAAUAUUUUGAACCGCAUGGUUCAAAAGUGAAAGACGGUCUUGCUGUCACUUAUAGAUGGAUCCGCGCUGCAUUAGCUAGUUGGUAAGGUAACGGCUUACCAAGGCAACGAUGCAUAGCCGACCUGAGAGGGUGAUCGGCCACACUGGAACUGAGACACGGUCCAGACUCCUACGGGAGGCAGCAGUAGGGAAUCUUCCGCAAUGGGCGAAAGCCUGACCGAGCAACGCCGCGUGAGUGAUGAAGGUCUUCGGAUCGUAAAACUCUGUUAUUAGGGAAGAACAUAUGUGUAAGUAACUGUGCACAUCUUGACGGUACCUAAUCAGAAAGCCACGGCUAACUACGUG